AGAGUUUGAUCCUGGCUCAGAUUGAACGCUGGCGGCAUGCCUUACACAUGCAAGUCGAACGGCAGCACGGGGGCAACCCUGGUGGCGAGUGGCGAACGGGUGAGUAAAGCAUCGGAACGUGCCCUGAAGUGGGGGAUAACGUAGCGAAAGUUACGCUAAUACCGCAUAUUCUGUGAGCAGGAAAGAGGGGGAUCGCAAGACCUCUUGCUUUGGGAGCGGCCGAUGUCGGAUUAGCUAGUUGGUGAGGUAAAGGCUCACCAAGGCGACGAUCAGUAGCUGGUCUGAGAGGACGACCAGCCACACUGGAACUGAGACACGGUCCAGACUCCUACGGGAGGCAGCAGUGGGGAAUUUUGGACAAUGGGCGCAAGCCUGAUCCAGCCAUUCCGCGUGAGUGAAGAAGGCCUUCGGGUUGUAAAGCUCUUUCGCAAGGGAAGAAACGAUUCAUCCUAAUACGGUGAGUUAAUGACGGUACCUUGAUAAGAAGCACCGGCUAACUACGUGCCAGCAGCCGCGGUAAUACGUAGGGUGCGAGCGUUAAUCGGAAUUACUGGGCGUAAAGCGUGCGCAGGCGGUUUUGUAAGUCAGAUGUGAAAUCCCCGGGCUCAACCUGGGAACUGCGUUUGAAACUACAAGGCUAGAAUAUGUCAGAGGGGGGUAGAAUUCCACGUGUAGCAGUGAAAUGCGUAGAGAUGUGGAGGAAUACCAAUGGCGAAGGCAGCCCCCUGGGAUAAUAUUGACGCUCAUGCACGAAAGCGUGGGGAGCAAACAGGAUUAGAUACCCUGGUAGUCC
Molecule: ribosomal RNA, 793 nt
Filed under: uncultured bacterium
Lineage: Bacteria
Description: bacterial SSU rRNA
Rfam family: Bacterial small subunit ribosomal RNA
Source: RNAcentral